RNAcentral lists this microRNA precursor (94 nucleotides) under Cricetulus griseus (Chinese hamster). RNAcentral's name for it is "mir-626". The record is from RNAcentral. Lineage: Eukaryota; Metazoa; Chordata; Mammalia; Rodentia; Cricetidae.
AACUUCAAAACCAUAACUACAUCUCAGUAAUUAAAUUAUAUUUAAACUCAACACAGCUUGGCUGUUAUAUUGAAAAACAAAAUAAAAUAUAUAA